Molecule: ribosomal RNA, 581 nt
Filed under: uncultured bacterium
Lineage: Bacteria
Description: bacterial LSU rRNA
Rfam family: Bacterial large subunit ribosomal RNA
Source: RNAcentral
UCGUGGGCCUUCGGGUCCGUGGUGGUGGUGGGGGCUGCGACCCGAUCCGGUAGUAGGUAAGCGUGUUAACAGGGGUGACGCAGUAUGGUAGCUUCCGCGUGUUUUAUGGCUAUGCACGUCCAAGGACGCAGGGUGGGGGGACAGGGUAAAUCCGUUUCCCGUUGAGCCCGAGGUCUGAUGGUGACCCCGUUUGGGGGAAGUAGAGUGAUCCUAGGCUGCCGAGAAAAGCCUCGACGUUAGGUGUGAGCCGCCCGUACCCUAAACCGACUCAGGUGGUCAGGUAGAGAAUACUAAGGCGAUCGAGAGAAUCAUGGUUAAGGAACUCGGCAAAAUGCCCCGUAACUUCGGGAGAAGGGGGGCCCGGAUCCUGAAGCCCUUGACGGGCUGGGGUGAUGGGCCGCAGAGACCAGGGAGAAGCGACUGUUUACUAAAAACACAGGUCCGUGCGAAGAAGUAAUUCGAUGUAUACGGACUGACGCCUGCCCGGUGCUGGAAGGUUAAGAGGACCGGUCAACCCCUUUCGGGGGGUGAAGCUGAGAAUUUAAGCCCCAGUAAACGGCGGUGGUAACUAUAACCAUCAA